Molecule: non-coding RNA, 1699 nt
Organism: Oryctolagus cuniculus (rabbit)
Lineage: Eukaryota; Metazoa; Chordata; Mammalia; Lagomorpha; Leporidae
Source: RefSeq, a predicted model, not a curated record
GGCUGCGUCUGGAAGGCUGCGCGUGGAGCGAUGGGGCGGAACGCCGGCCGUUGCUGCUGCCAGGGCCAGGGGCUGGCGGUGAGGAGGGGCGGCUUCGCCCAGGGACUGCGUGUGCGGUGCUGUGGCCUGCACCUCAUACAGACCGAGCCACAGAGCAGCCCUGCUCGGCCGGCCGGCCAGCUCCAGCCCCUGCCUCCUUGGGGCUGCCGGAGGUCCUGGGGCCAGGGCAUGGGCACAGGUUGGCUGACAAAGGGGGAGGUGCACAGUUAGGGUUGGGGGUGGCUGAGGAAGUGGGUUUGGGAUGUCUGCAUAGCAUGGGGUCCCUGGGCUCCCCGAAUGCCCCUUUGGGACCUCUCCGCUGGCUGUGGGUGCUGAGCGCCUCCUGCUGUUGGCUCAGCCUCGGGGCUCCCUGGGCUGCCGGCUGCGCGUUGUCAGUGCGUGGUGCUGACUUUGCUCCCAGCAGGGCGGGGAGCUGCUGGGAAUUGGCUUGGUGCGCCCGCCGCCGGCUGGUUCCCCAGUGCACGACAGGUGCUUCCUGGGAGCUGUGCUGAGCGCAGGCCGCCGGCAGGCAGCCAUCACAGGCCGGGUUACCAGGGAGCUGGCCAGCUGCUCUGAACACACACACAGACACGUGUGCACACCCGUGCAGUCUGUGCUCCCGCCCUGGACACACUGCUACUGGAAAAGACACGCUCGGCGUCUCUGCUUUCACGUCCGGGAGUCCCUAAUGAGGUUCCCUUUCAGGGGCCGCACACUGGAUCCCUGGUGUGGGACAUCAGUCAGGGGCAGGAUCGGGACACUGGAUCCCCAGUGUGGGACAUCCGUCAGGAGCAGGAUCGGGACACUGGAUCCCCGGUGUGGGACAUCUGUCGUGGCAGGAUCGGGACACUGGAUCCCCGGCGUGGGACAUCCGUCAGGAGCAGGAUCGGGACACUGGAUCCCCAGUGUGGGACAUCCGUCAGGGGCAGGAUCCUCAGCCCUCGUGUCCUUGCGUUUCUUGCUCCCAGGUUUGUCUCCGCAGGUGGCCUCUGCCUGGAAGAGGCCGCAGGAGGGGUGCGGGGUGAACGCCCCUGGACGUCUCUCAGCUCACUGCGUGUCCACGGGGGUUCCUGGUCGCUGUCCUUCUUCUCAGUCCUCGGCUGUGCUUGGGGACACGUGUAGAAUGUCUGCUCCUACACCGUGGUCAAACCUCCGGUCCUCGGCCUGGGUCCAGGAGAGGGACCGUGAGUGACAGCGCCCUCCCACGCUUAGCUGGCGGGAGACCCAAGACGGCAGAGGCCCUGCCCUUCCAUGGACCCCACCCAGAACCCAGGCACCCGACACUGUGACAGAGAGGCCCGGCUCUGGUCCUACCGAGAGCCUUGCCUGUCCUAUGACGUACCGGAACCCUGUGCUCCGUCCACGUCUGCAAAGAGGACCACGGGGAGGCAUUUCCCCUGGGCCGGACUCACCGAGCCCUGCAGCCGGCUGGCCUGGCACAGCAGGAGGUCCAGCAUCAGGCCCAGGGCCACGUGGGGCUGAGGCUUUGCGUGCGCUUCCUUGGACACAGGUCCCACAGACCUGAAGGCCAGUGAACAAGAGAGACGUCAUGUGCAGGCCCCGCCCCAGUCUGCAACAGCAGGACAAGUGCGGGCUCCCUGCUCAGGGUGCUGGCACCGGGAGCGGGGCUGGCAGAGGGCGCCUGAGACUCACCGAACCA